Molecule: ribosomal RNA, 510 nt
Filed under: uncultured bacterium
Lineage: Bacteria
Description: partial 16S ribosomal RNA
Rfam family: Bacterial small subunit ribosomal RNA
Source: RNAcentral
GACGAACGCUGGCGGCGUGCUUAACACAUGCAAGUCGAACGAAGAGCGAUGGAAGCUUGCUUCUAUCAAUCUUAGUGGCGAACGGGUGAGUAACGCGUAAUCAACCUGCCCUUCAGAGGGGGACAACAGUUGGAAACGACUGCUAAUACCGCAUACGAUCUAAUCUCGGCAUCGAGGAUAGAUGAAAGGUGGCCUCUACAUGUAAGCUAUCACUGAAGGAGGGGAUUGCGUCUGAUUAGCUAGUUGGAGGGGUAACGGCCCACCAAGGCGAUGAUCAGUAGCCGGUCUGAGAGGAUGAACGGCCACAUUGGGACUGAGACACGGCCCAGACUCCUAUGGGAGGCAGCAGUGGGGAAUCUUCCGCAAUGGACGAAAGUCUGACGGAGCAACGCCGCGUGAGUGAUGACGGCCUUCGGGUUGUAAAGCUCUGUUAAUCGGGACGAAAGGCCUUCUUGCGAAUAGUGAGAAGGAUUGACGGUACCGGAAUAGAAAGCCACGGCUAACUACGUG